CUCUAAGGAGCAGUGAAACCCUGUCAAUGCGCUGUGUUCCCCAUAUCUCUCCCUCCCAGCCUGCUCUCCCCUCCAGACAAGAACAUGCGGUGAGCUAGGGGCCGGCUAGUAGCUUUCAGGCUCGCUUGCCAGUGGCCACCCGCGCUUGGGAACCAAACGGACAGUAACUUCAGUUCCCCCAGCGAACCUCUGGGCAACACCUGGCUGCAGAUCGCCGUGCCUUAGGAAAAACAGCCUCCCCCCGCCCCAACUCUGUCAGAGAGCAGCGAAGAGGAAAAAUGGGCACCGGGAAAACAAGCCGGAGUGCAGCAAAGGCAGAAGACAGAAAGCCAAAUCGAUGUAAACAAUUUAAAAGGUGUAAAGAUAUAUUUUCAAAUAAUCAGAUUUCAAAG
This is a non-coding RNA of Chrysemys picta bellii (western painted turtle), 392 nucleotides long. Lineage: Eukaryota; Metazoa; Chordata; Testudines; Emydidae. The record is from RefSeq and is a predicted model, not a curated record.